Long non-coding RNA from Anopheles coluzzii, 7891 nucleotides. RefSeq lists it as uncharacterized. Lineage: Eukaryota; Metazoa; Arthropoda; Insecta; Diptera; Culicidae. The transcript is spliced from 6 exons. The record is from RefSeq and is a predicted model, not a curated record.
UUUUAUUUCUCUAUAUAUUUCUCAUUUCUCUCUAUAUUUCUUUCUGAACGAUUUAUAAAGUAUAUUAUUCUCUCAUCGUUAAUGCCGCUGUAUCAUUUUUAUACAUUUUUUUUUAAUAAGAACCGUUUCCUAUCAACUCCAUCCAAUCGGGCAACGUUCGAUAAUCAAUUUAUCCCUAAAUCACGCUAUAUCACGCUCGCCAAUCAUGCAUGCAAAUCCAUUGACCACUGUGACAAAGGUUGCUAUAAAACCACUGGACCUAUCAUCGAUCAGGGCAGUCGCAUAAACAGCUCGACAGAAACGCAUCAAGUAUGAAGCUUACACUAUUCCUUGCAUUUUUGACAGUACUGGCUACCAUCGCCCAUGCGGCAACGGUAGGGUCAUCAAGGGCUGCAGGAAUUACCGCACCUGUUGGAGGCCUCGAGUAUACAACGGAUGCUGGCCCGCCUGCUGAGAUGUUGCGUCAGAAUCCAAAAUAUUCCACAACGACCAGAAAAGCGGAUGAACCGAGGUACAUGCUUCGGGGAUAAAUCGACCCUCCGAACAGCGCAUUGUCCACCUGUGGAAUCUUGAUAAGAAUCUAUCCCAGCUUUUAGAUUUAACAGUGGGAAAUUUAAGUAUCGUCCGUGCUUGUAAUAUUUUUUAAGCUGAAAAUUGCAAAAUAAACAAAACAAGUAAGCAAAACAAUUAUUACUUUACACUUUUUUUAUUGAAGUCGCUUACUGGCUAUGACAAUGUAAUGCUUGCCACAUCGCCGUAUGUUGCGAUCAUUGUUCUCACCAAUUAUCUAAUGCAUCUUACGUUCUAGAUUGCUAUCUCCCCUGUUUCUCUGUUUCUCCCCUGUCCCCUGUUGUAAGGAUAGCAAAUCGAAUCGAAAAAGGAUCAAAAUAAUGGGAAAGGCCUGUGAUAAAUACUUACAUGCAUUGUAUUUAAACUAACGCUAACCAGUUGGCGUUAACUUAUUGCAUUGAAAGUAUUAAAAAUCUUUCUUACAUUGGGGGCUUUUACGAUAUCAGCCAGCUGUUUUAUAUGGUGUUUGUCACUUACAGGUUUAAAUCAUGUCAACACUCUUUACAAAACCACUUACAUAACCCUUAGCCUUAGAUUUUCAGCCCAGAUUAUUUCAGCCUAAUAAAUAUUGAAACAAACGCCGAUUCGUCUCAGGCACGUUCAGAUUAGUGAAUGAGAGAUUGAAUUUUUUGGAAGAUGCAUAAAUAUUGAGUGAAUAAUAGUUAAACGUUAUUUUAACCAUUUAUUAAAGUUUCACAAAAGUGCUAUAACAUGUUUCAAACAGAAAAAGGAAAAUAAAACAAUUUUAUAAUGCAUCUUAGUUUGUACACAAACGCUUCCAUCCAAUAUGGCGGACCUUAACUGUCACAUGGAUACAACCCAGAUGAAAAAAAUAAAGAAGAGAUCAUUGUUAUAAAAAUGUAAAGUAUUAUUAAACAUUGAAACGAGAUUAACAUAGACACGUUUUGCCCCAAAAAUUCUAUGAAUGAACCAACUCAACCAGUUUUUGACAACUUGGUGCAAUUUGCUAGUACUCACCAAGUUGUACAGCAUAUAUACUUUUUUUGUUAAACCACCAUAGUAAAUCUACCAGAACAUCAACAAAAGCUCUGCUUAUCGAAGUAGCUCUAACACCCAUAACGUAAGCACAGGCAAUCAGUUACAGUAAAGCAUCACGCUUAGUAUUCCCAAUUUCCAUGACCCAUUUGUUGUACACUACUCUUCUUGAAUCACUAUAAAACGUCGCCUCCACCAUAGUCCGCCGGUGAGUCCUAAAGACGCAAUAGAAAUGAAAAUCACCGUAGUACUGCUUUCCUUGAUUGCUAUGGCGUUCGCCGCUUCAAUACCAUGGAGAAGUUAUUAUGUUUACCGCCCAGUUCGUGUAAGUCCUACACGAGACCAAGACGCACUCAACACUCAACAUGUCCUAAAUUAUUUAUUGGGGUUAUAUCAAAUCAAACCCACCCUACGAGAUGUAGACGCUGAACCGCGCAAGCCUCCAAGAUGUAAUCCGUCCGACAGGGACUGUAACGACUAUGACAAUCCAUUUGAAAUCGAAUUGUAAAAUGGGAGCCGUCUACUAUAACACUUGAAUCAUUUUUGUUUCUUUGCAAAGUGGUUCUAAACCAUUUUUUACUGAUUUUUGGCAGAGGUGUACGACUUAAACAAACACAAAAAAAAACAAAACAAAAAAAUAUCUUUACCAAAUAUAAACUAAAGCUUUUAUCUUACUCGAUUAAACCAUACGAUACAACGUCUACAACGGUAUCAGCUUUUGCGGUAUAGCAAUCAGCUUUUGCUUUUCAAAACAUUCCCUUAGAUCAACUUUAAAAGCUACCGAUUUUACAUACAUGGAGUUUAAGUUUAUCGUUUUUAUUGGCGAUUCCGUUUCCAGUACUCCUUUUGCUAUGUUUUAGUUAUUGAAUUACCUCUCAUUUUAAUUUCAAUGUCAAUUUUGUCUUUUUGCCACCUUCCAAAUUAAUCAUAUUGCAUAUUUUCUAUUAACAGUUCAAUGUGAAUCUCUUUCGAUUAUUUAUUGAACCGAUGACAGGCUAGUAAUAGUAUUUUUUGUUGUUUUUGAAUGGAUCAUUUCAUUAUUUAAGCAUCGCUUUAAACAUAAUUGUCAUUAACCGAUCACUGCAUUGUACUUCCUAGUAGGUACUGAUCUUAAACGAUACCGUUUCAACAAUUAUCUAUUUAACUCUAAAAACAUUUGGAUAAUUUGUUGAUUUUGUCGCACAAUGUUAGAAAUCCGAACUUUUUUUUUGUUUAGCUAGCAUUCAGUAUCUCCAGUAUAAAUUACUUUUCUACUACCUUGUGAUGAUAGCUACUCCUAUUCUCGACAAUAUAGUGCCAUAAACAUUGGACUAUUUCGAUCGCAAUUUGGCCAAAGACUACGAUGGAUUAACGAUCAAGUAUCGUUAUGUAAUAUCGUAUUCAUUAUCGGUUAUACCAAUCAGUAUUAAAUAAAAUUAAAUCAUAAUACACAAAACUAAGUAGCGUUAUAACAUUUUCAAAGCUUCUCCAUGGCUAUUCAAGCUGUGCUAAAUUUAUUGUUGCAUUCUUAAUUCCCGUAACUAUCUUGCAUUGAACGAGCACCACUGCUAGCUCAAAUGUAUCCUUCCUGAACCACUAUAAAACGCCAGGCUUGUACCCUCUAUUCUUCACACUGGGUAGUAGUCCCUCAACGAAUACAUCGUUCAGCUCGCAACAUGAAAACUGUCAUAGUACUGUUCGCCCUAGUGGCUGUUGCCACAGCAAUGCAGCCAUUUUAUCACCCACAAGACCAAUUUCCCGUGGUUGACAUUAUACCCAAACUGCCUAUGCGCCGGCAGGUUUCUAAAAUUAUCGAAUCGUUUAAAGGGCUUGUGGACGGAUUUAUUAAUUUUAUAGAAGGAACACGUCGUGGCGACCCUGUUGAUCGUGAGAACAUGCGGCAGCUUUUACAAUUGUUACAGCUUUUACCUCCAUUUGCAAAGACUCUCAAUGAACAAUUUGGUCAAUGAACAUAAUUCGAAAAGGAUUUCCAACCCACAAGUGAGGUAAGAUUUGCAAUGGAAGACUUCACACAAAAGAGAGCUGCGAUGGGAAUGGACGAUCAUAAAUUUCUCUAUCGUCAUAAAUAAAUAUAUAUUCGUACUUGCAAAUUCGGAACAUCAUUUUUGAUUGAUGAAGCGAUUAUGGGAGAAUUCUAUGGACUAAUUAAAUUCAGUCCCUAUUGGUUAAUUGGGCAGUUCAUGUAUAAUGGUCAGGAUUUUUCGUUUACAAAUUGCAGCAUGAAUCGCCCGUGAGUUAUAUCUUAUCCAUGUUAUCCACACAAAUUAUUUCGAAUUUUCCUAGUUUUUGUGCUGCCGUUUCAACAAUUAUACUGUUGAUUGAUUUCAUUAAUUUCAGAGUCAAACGAUCCCUUCAUUCCUGGCAUACAUCUAUCUAAUCCUUUCAAUAACACUUCAUUCUUGUUUACGUUCUACAUUAUUUUAAUUGGCCAUUGAUUUGCAGUACCUUCAACAUUCUAACACAAAACCUUCUACUAUUGCUGAAAGUAUCACAUUCCAAGGAUUAACGUUUCUUGUCGAACGUAUAAGCAGAACAAAUUGGUUGAAGAUACAAAACAUCGUACACUAAUCGCUAUGAAAAUACUAAUAAUUGUUAUCAUUUUUGGAAAAAACCCAACACGAGUAAACAAAAUUAAGCGGCUUCAUAACUUUUUCAUAGUUUUACUAUCUUCUUCCUCUUCUUAUAGGCUCAGCAAUAACCGUUGUCGGUCAACGCCUGCCUGUACCACUUGAGGGCUUGGUUUUCAGUGAUUUUUGGAUUACCUCCCAUAGCAGGAUAGUCAGUCCUACGUAUGGCGGCACGGUCUAUUUGGGGCUUGAACCCAUGACGGGCAUGUUGUUACGUCAUAGGAGUUAACGACUGUACCACGAGACCGGCAUAAAAGCUUCAUCAAUAUCGCAUGAAUGAUUUAAUGUCCUUCAUGCUUUGCAAAUAAGAAAGUUUGAUAACUUUGUUAAAUUGGUUACAGAAGUUAUUGUUUUAUUGCAAGAUAUUUUGUAUGCACUGGCGUUGCGAGACUGUUUAUCAUCAGUGCUUACAGCAGUUUCACUGAAUAAUCAAAUAGCUACCGACUAUCAUAGGGGUAGCAUCAUUACAGUUUUCAAUAAAGAGUUCACACUGUACAUAUAAUUAACCACUGAUGAAAAAACAUUUGUACAAGCAGUCACUAAAGAAAUGAGUGUAAUCAUGAUUAUAAUGAAUGAUGAUGACAUAAACGGUUUGUUAAGAAUGACAUUAAAAGAAUUGUAUUUAUUUAUAUCAGAUUGUCCACACCAUGAACCAAGCUCAAAAUUUCUCAACCAUGCAUGAACAUUAACAUUGUUCUAGAACAUUUCCAACAUUCAAAAACAUAUGAUAUUUAAUUUUCCUGUUCUCUUAUUGUUCUUCUAUUUGCCGUGACGUCGUCCUACGUGGACAUACAGGCCUAUACAGGCUUUCGAGACUUAAUUCAUUACCACGUAGCCGGAUAGUCAAUCCUUGCUACGGGGUGCCGGUCCGGUCCAUUCUGGACUUGAACCCAUUAAGUCGUUCGAGUUGACGACUGUACCACGAAACCAGUCUCUUAUUGUUUGACUUGUAGAACACAUAUAGCAACCACGAUUUAUUAUGGAUGCGAUAAUAUUUACGUUGGUUUGACAAUUUGAACAGCAACCUUGGUUUAAGUUGAUUUAUUAUGAGUUUUAUAAGUUUUGUUUUGCUUGAAUCUUUAGAUCUAUACAUAAAACUAAAUGGUAUUUUACAAUUUUCAAUGCUGUUCUUUGUUUAUGCAACCAGAGCCUAAUUAAUUAUUGCAUUCCUAAUGCCCGUCAGUAAGUAAUGCCCGUAACUAUCUUCCAUUGAACGAGCACCACCGCUAGCUCAAAUGUAUCCUUUCUGAACCACUAUAAAACGCCAGGCUUGUACUCUCUAUUCUUCACACUGGGUAGUAGUCCCUCAACGAAUACAUCGUUCAGCUCGCAACAUGAAAACUGUCAUAGUACUGUUCGCCUUAGUGGCUGUUGCCACAGCAAUGCAGCCAUUUUAUCACCCACAAGAGCAAUUUCCCAUGGUUGAAAUCAUGCCCAUAAAUACUUUAGAUAACAGACAGUUACCCAAAAUUUUGGAAUCUCUUGUAGGGCUUGUUGACGGGUUUCUUAAUGUUUUCGAAGCAACACGUCGUGGCGACCCUGUUGAUCGUGAGAACAUGCGUCAGCUUAGCUUUUUGCUCACACUUUUACCUUCCAUCGUAGAAACUGUCUAUAGAAUAUUUGGUCAACCAACAUAAUUUGAAAAGGAUUUUCAUCCCACAAGUGAGGUGAGACUUUAACUGGAAGACCUCAAAGAAAUGAGAGCUAUGAUGGAAAUGGACGACCUUAAAUUUCACUAUUGGCAUAAAUAAAUCUACAUUCAUGCAUGCAAAUUUUGGAGAGCCUUGUUUAUCCCAUUUCAUGCCAAUAACAGGUAGCUAGUUUAUAAGUGAUAAAAUAGCGGCUUAAAGUAGUAAUCAUCUGUCGAAGGUUCUGCAUUGUAUCCCAUACACGAUUUCACCAAGUAUUCUUCAAUUUUUGAAUUGUUUUUAUGGAUUAAUUUACAGCGCAGCACAAACAUUGUCAUAAUACAGUUCGAACUGUCGGCUUCACGUCGGCGUACUCGUAAGCGAUACAGAACACGGACCAUACAUGGUCUAUAUUUUCCAUUUCCAGCAAACCGUGCUUCUCAUACAGAAGAACGGUACCGAUGAAAGUAAUACUAUACUCAUUUUUAAAUUGACUGCCUCAGAUUCAAAUCACCUCUAUUCGAUCGACGAGAAUAUCCAAACAAAAUUUACGCACCAAGCGAGCCAUACAAUUGACGUCAUUCGUAUCGGUUGAAUCGAUUGCAUGCUUGUGUAAACGAACAUAGAAAUCACUUCAAGCGAUCAGUAAUGAUGUAACAAUAAUUAAAUUGAACACUAAAAUAACUCAACAACGAUCAGCAAGCACUGGAAGUACCUGUAACGACCUCUGAUUAAACUAUGACUGGAGUAUAAAGUCACCCACUUAUUGUCCUGCAGUUGGUACCCAAAUCUAUCUCACGUAGCUAUUUCAAAGUACAAAGUUUACAAGGAAAGCCGUAGCAGAGCAACGUCAAAUGUUGCUGCGCCGAUUGUUGAACAUAGCUUUCUUGUAGGUGCAGCAUACUAUUGUAGACUAUCGAUACUAUCGAUUCUCAGGAGAACCUUUGACUUUUCCAUGAUUUCUAAGCCUUACAUAGACAUUGAUCCGCAAUAUGGUUCAAAUUCCAAGUAUAUCAUUCUAAAAUUUCGAUAGGUUCUAUUGUUAAAUUUAAUGCAUUGUUACGUUUCCUGAUGGAAGGAUGCAAGGUAAAAAGUAAAUACCUACACCCAUUGAUAAAAACGAUUCAAUACUUCGUAUACGAUAGCAAAACCAGCAACCGUUAUCAAUGAUCUUAUAUUUGCUUUGCAAAACAUAUUAACAAACCUAAACAACAUCAUAACAUUUGCAAGGCUCCUCCAUGGAUAUUCAACCACACUUCAAUUAAUUAUUGCAACCUUAAUGAUGAUUGCACCGCUGCCUGCUCCAAUGUCUCCUCUCUCAACUACUAUAAAACAGUGCACUAGUGACUGCAAAGUGCGCAGUAGUUUUUAAAUAGAAAACUUCAUUCAGAACACAACAUGAAAACUGGCAUUAUACUGUUCGGCCUGUUGGUUGCGGCAAACGCAAUCCCUUUACAAAGCCAUGACCGUGUUUUUCGUAAGGAAAUAGUUUUGCUAAGAAAGCCGUUUCACAUUCCUUCAUCGUUGCUAAUCUGGCUGCCACACACUGUAAAAGCAAUCAGACGAUCCUUUAACAGACCAGCACUGCGCCAAGACAGCAGUGACCUACCAUGGUGCUCUACUAUGACCGACGAAGAGUGCCUAUUGGUACCAAAUUUCAAUGCGAUCAAAACGAAAAACCAUGAUUAUGUUUUCCAUAAGGAUGUAGUUUUAGGAAAAAGGUGGAUUCCGCUAAAUGUGAUGCAACAAAAUUUAGAAUAUAUCAGACGAUUGUAUUACAUACCAGCACUGCGCCAAGACAGCAGUAACCUGCCAUGGUGCUCUAUCAUGAACGACGUCGAAAAAUGCCUAUUGGUACCAAAUUUCAAUGCGAUCAAAUCGAAAAACCAUGCAAUUAGCUCCAAAACAUAAAACAAACUCGGAACUAGGCUCGAUGUAACGUUCGCAAGAGAAAGGACCGAAGAUAAUCGCAAAAUUGGUUAUAUUUAACACUCAUCUUACAUACCUCCAAUCUACCCAAAACUACUAGCUACAUCGAAAUAAACAACACUCAACAAUUUACUGAUGUAA